ACUCGAGUGGCGAACGGGUGAGUAACACGUGGGUGAUCUGCCCUGCACUUUGGGAUAAGCCUGGGAAACUGGGUCUAAUACCGAAUACUCCCUACUGGUUGCAUGGCCUGGUAGGGGAAAGCUUUUGCGGUGUGGGAUGGGCCCGCGGCCUAUCAGCUUGUUGGUGGGGUGAUGGCCUACCAAGGCGACGACGGGUAGCCGGCCUGAGAGGGUGUCCGGCCACACUGGGACUGAGAUACGGCCCAGACUCCUACGGGAGGCAGCAGUGGGGAAUAUUGCACAAUGGGCGCAAGCCUGAUGCAGCGACGCCGCGUGGGGGAUGACGGCCUUCGGGUUGUAAACCCCUUUCAAUAGGGACGAAGCGCAAGUGACGGUACCUAUAGAAGAAGCACCGGCCAACUACGUGCCAGCAGCCGCGGUAAUACGUAGGGUGCGAGCGUUGUCCGGAAUUACUGGGCGUAAAGAGCUCGUAGGUGGUUUGUCGCGUUGUCCGUGAAAACUCACAGCUUAACUGUGGGCGUGCGGGCGAUACGGGCAGACUGGAGUACUGCAGGGGAGACUGGAAUUCCUGGUGUAGCGGUGGAAUGCGCAGAUAUCAGGAGGAACACCGGUGGCGAAGGCGGGUCUCUGGGCAGUAACUG
RNAcentral lists this ribosomal RNA (641 nucleotides) under Mycobacterium sp. I12A-02684. RNAcentral's name for it is "bacterial SSU rRNA". It matches the Rfam family "Bacterial small subunit ribosomal RNA", at positions 89 to 742 of the family's 1533-position model. Lineage: Bacteria; Bacillati; Actinomycetota; Actinomycetes; Mycobacteriales; Mycobacteriaceae. The record is from RNAcentral.